AAGGUCUGCAGAGGGAAGGAGAGAGGCGGUGGGAAGACCCCGCAGGACAGCGUCCCCGAGACGCCGCGGUGGAGGUCAGAGACAGCUGUCGGCGGCUUCCGACACCCUGACAGCGCCGAUUAAAUAAAAUAGCUAAAUAGAAAUAAAGUGACACUUGCUUUGCAUUCCAAGGUGGCUCAGCCUGCCUUCUUUUUACUCUCCAUCCUAAAAGCACAGUUCAAAUGACAAAUAGUUUGUUGCCGAGUAUCAAUACCAUCUAUUUAUCCACCCCAGUGGGAGGCCUCACUUCCAAUGUCAUAUGGGAGG
This is a non-coding RNA of Ceratotherium simum simum (southern white rhinoceros), 306 nucleotides long. The record is from RefSeq and is a predicted model, not a curated record. Lineage: Eukaryota; Metazoa; Chordata; Mammalia; Perissodactyla; Rhinocerotidae.